RNAcentral lists this ribosomal RNA (338 nucleotides) under Clostridioides difficile. RNAcentral describes it as "bacterial LSU rRNA". It matches the Rfam family "Bacterial large subunit ribosomal RNA", at positions 1088 to 1433 of the family's 2925-position model. The record is from RNAcentral. Lineage: Bacteria; Bacillati; Bacillota; Clostridia; Peptostreptococcales; Peptostreptococcaceae.
GACAGCGAGGAUGUUGCUAACGAAGAUGGCAGGGAUGCCAAGAGUGCGGAAUGGCACACUGGUCGGGUGGUCCUGCGACGAAGAUUUCCGGGGCGAAAACUUACUACCGAAGCUACGGCAUCAGGAAUGAUGGGUAGGGGAGCUUCCCAUACGGGUGGAAGCAUGACCGUAAGGACAUGUGGACAGUAUGGGAGUGAGAAUGUUGGCAUGAGUAGCGAGAUGUGGGUGAGAAUCCCACAGGCCGUAAACCCAAGGUUUCCAGGGGAAGGUUCGUCCGCCCUGGGUUAGUCGGGACCUAAGCUGAGGCCGAAAGGCGUAGGUGAUGGACAACAGGUUGA